ACGUACACUCCUGCGGGAGGCAGCAGUGGGGAAUAUUGGACAAUGGGCGCAAGCCUGAUCCAGCCAUGCCGCGUGAGUGAUGAAGGCCCUAGGGUUGUAAAGCUCUUUCACCGGUGAAGAUAAUGACGGUAACCGGAGAAGAAGCCCCGGCUAACUUCGUGACAGCAGCCGCGGUAAUACGAAGGGGGCUAGCGUUGUUCGGAUUUACUGGGCGUAAAGCGCACGUAGGCGGACUAUUAAGUCAGGGGUGAAAUCCCGGGGCUCAACCCCGGAACUGCCUUUGAUACUGGUAGUCUUGAGUUCGAGAGAGGUGAGUGGAAUUCCGAGUGUAGAGGUGAAAUUCGUAGAUAUUCGGAGGAACACCAGUGGCGAAGGCGGCUCACUGGCUCGAUACUGACGCUGAGGUGCGAAAGCGUGGGGAGCAAACAGGAUUAGAAACCCCAGUAGUCCCAUGAU
Molecule: ribosomal RNA, 456 nt
Filed under: uncultured organism
Description: partial 16S ribosomal RNA
Rfam family: Bacterial small subunit ribosomal RNA
Source: RNAcentral